UGCAGAGAGUUGUGGUAGAGUCUUUUGGGUAGAUGUUUAAAUUAAGAAGUUUCCCUUAAAAAAAAGUGAUUUGUGCAGCACCCAGAACAAUGGGGUUCUUUUUCCAUUCCUGGAGGACCAAAAUCAAAAUAUUUUAACCGCAGUCACCAUGGCUGCAGAAAGCAUUCAAGCAGGACAACAAUACAGGAUCUUUGUAUUUUGACCGUGGUGCAGAAGGGGAUGCUGAACAUGCUGCCUCAUUACUCUGGAGUUGGCUGACUACGUCCUACGGGCUGAGACUGAAGAAGCCAUCAGGAGUGUCAGGCUAUGCCACUGAUUUCUUAUCGACCUGCUUGAUAUGCGCUCACAUUUCCAUGCAUCUUCCCCUCCUGCACUCCAUAAAACGCAACAUGAAAUGUCUCCUCUCAAUUGAGAUGCUCUGUUUUAUUUGGGCUGAGAAAUCCACUUAAACCUUUUUAAUUUGUCUUGUUUGGAUAUGGGUAUAAUUUUGGUUGUGUUUUAUGGGCGCCCGGUUCAUUUUACUUCCUGUAAAUCGUCCCUUUAGUUACUAGGGCUUCUGGGAAGUUGUAAAUUCUCCCUCCUAUUUUCUCUGUAGAGUUUACGUUGUUUUACAGUUUCAUUAAUAGGUUCUCUUCCAGCUAGGUUGAUGAAAGUUAUUGACCUAAUCAUAACCUAUUAAUUAUGACAGUAAAUUCCACUCUUGGAAAUGUUUUACUGAGCAAAUGUUACUUGGAAAAUCUGCAGGUUAAACUGGAGAUCUAAGAACUUUAAAUCUGCUUUUCAGUGCCCCAGUCACGGAGCCACGAGUCCUCCUUCAGUGAAGCUUGUACACUGCUGCUGGCUUGGGACUAAGGGGAACCCCAAAACACCUCCACCCCAUCGAUUGCAAAUGAGGAGAAGGACUGCUGUGGCAUUCAACUUCAUAAAAAAAUGUAAAAAGGGAAAAAAAAAUUAAAAGGAAUUUCAGGAAAACAUGCAGGGAGGUUUCCUUAAGUCUGGCUCUACACAUUUGGGUAUAGAGUGGAAAUUGGAUGCAUUUGAAUUUCUUCUCAUGGCUGCUAGAAGGAGAGAAGCAUGAGCAAUAGGCAAUGUAGUGACUUGCUCUCCAUGGCUGCCAGCCCAUCAGAUGCAGGGACACACUCCCAGUAUUUUCUAC
Anas platyrhynchos (mallard) is the source of this 1156-nucleotide non-coding RNA. NCBI's taxonomy places the organism in Eukaryota, Metazoa, Chordata, Aves, Anseriformes, Anatidae. The record is from RefSeq and is a predicted model, not a curated record.